This 567-nucleotide ribosomal RNA is filed under the name uncultured bacterium. RNAcentral's name for it is "partial 16S ribosomal RNA". It matches the Rfam family "Bacterial small subunit ribosomal RNA", at positions 355 to 912 of the family's 1533-position model. The record is from RNAcentral.
UGGGGAAUAUUGCACAAUGGGCGCAAGCCUGAUGCAGCCAUGCCGCGUGUGUGAAGAAGGCCUUCGGGUUGUAAAGCACUUUCAGCGAGGAGGAAGGUGGUGAGCUUAAUACGCUCAUCAAUUGACGUUACUCGCAGAAGAAGCACCGGCUAACUCCGUGCCAGCAGCCGCGGUAAUACGGAGGGUGCAAGCGUUAAUCGGAAUUACUGGGCGUAAAGCGCACGCAGGCGGUUUGUUAAGUCAGAUGUGAAAUCCCCGGGCUCAACCUGGGAACUGCAUUUGAAACUGGCAAGCUAGAGUCUCGUAGAGGGGGGUAGAAUUCCAGGUGUAGCGGUGAAAUGCGUAGAGAUCUGGAGGAAUACCGGUGGCGAAGGCGGCCCCCUGGACGAAGACUGACGCUCAGGUGCGAAAGCGUGGGGCAGCAAACAGGAUUAGAUACCCUGGUAGUCCAGCGCUGUAAACGAUGUCGAUUUGGAGGUUGUGCCCUUGAGGCGUGGCUUCCGGAGCUAACGCGUUAAAUCGACCGCCUGGGGAGUACGGCCGCAAGGUUAAAACUCAAAUGAAUUG